AAGGAUCAUUACCGAGAGCUUGGGGUCUAACCGGCCCCUCUCUUCACCCGUGUCUACAAAAACAAAUGUUGCUUUGGCGGGCCAGGGCCCCGUCCCUGGAUGGGCUUAACCUUCCCACCCGGUGCCCGCCGAAGGUACAACCAAACUCUGUUAUCAGUGUCGUCCGAGUAUACACAUAAUAAACUAAAACUUUCAACAACGGAUCUCUUGGUUCCCGCAUCGAUGAAGAACGCAGCGAAAUGCGAAAAUUAAUGUGAAUUGCAGAAUUCCGUGAAUCAUCGAGUCUUUGAACGCACAUUGCGCCCUUUGGUAUUCCGAAGGGCAUGCCUGUUCGAGCGUCAUUGCACCUCUCAAGCAUUGCUUGGUAUUGGGCCGCGCCCCCGUGGCGUGCCUGGAAUUCAGUGGCGGUCCAGCGAGACUUCAAGCGUAGCAAGAUUUCACGAUCCCGCUUUGGAAGGUUCCUGCUGUGUGCCGGCCAGACAACCCCAUUAUUUAUCAAUGGUUGACCUCGGAUCAGGUAGGGAUACCCGCUGAACUUAA
This 540-nucleotide ribosomal RNA is filed under the name Phaeophyscia orbicularis. Its description in RNAcentral is "eukaryotic LSU rRNA". The stretch from base 188 to 341 matches the Rfam family "5.8S ribosomal RNA". The record is from RNAcentral. Lineage: Eukaryota; Fungi; Ascomycota; Lecanoromycetes; Caliciales; Physciaceae.